AAGAGGAAGUCUAAGGAGGCUGGAAGUGACUCUUUGCUCAGCCCAAAGUACCUGGAGAGCAGGAGAAAAUGGCAGGAUGCAAGAGGGGGAAAGGAUGGGGUCACACAAAGAAAAAGAGCUAGACUUGACCUCUUUUCCACUCCAGGAAUGAGAUGUAAGCCAGGAGGCAAGCCUGAGGCCGAGAAGCCCCCAGGGACGACAGAAUCUCCUGCAGGACUGGAGGUGGCCGGGGCUGAGGUUGUGGUCCUGAUGGCGGCCGCAGGCAAGGUGGAUGGAAACGAGACCAAGAGAAAAAAAUAAGUGACUUAGUAACUUAACUUUACCCAGAGAGUGGAACAUAAAAUGCAAGAUUUCAAACCCUGCCCUUCCAUUUCAUCUUCAUCUUUGAAAAAUACAGGCAGAGGUGAGCUGAUUUGGCUUGCUACCAUGGGUGAGGAUCUUGAAGGAGAAACUUGGCUGAACUUCUCCAUUCCCUGGGGCUUCGGCAAGGCAGUAGAGGAUGAAG
Molecule: long non-coding RNA, 505 nt
Organism: Orcinus orca (killer whale)
Lineage: Eukaryota; Metazoa; Chordata; Mammalia; Artiodactyla; Delphinidae
Exons: 3
Source: RefSeq, a predicted model, not a curated record